This 254-nucleotide ribosomal RNA is filed under the name uncultured bacterium. Its description in RNAcentral is "partial 16S ribosomal RNA". It matches the Rfam family "Bacterial small subunit ribosomal RNA", at positions 524 to 776 of the family's 1533-position model. The record is from RNAcentral.
UACGUAGGGCGCAAGCGUUGUCCGGAAUUAUUGGGCGUAAAGAGCGCGUAGGCGGCGCUGUACGACCCGUGUGAAAGCCCCCGGCUCAACUGGGGAGGGUCACGGGUAACGGCAGUGCUCUGAGUGCAGGAGAGGGAAGUGGAACUCCGGGAGUAGCGGUGAAAUGCGUAGAGACCCGGAGGAACACCGGUGGCGAAGGCGGCUUCCUGGUCUGCAACUGACGCUGUGGCGCGAAAGCUAGGGGAGCAAACGGG